This 253-nucleotide ribosomal RNA is filed under the name uncultured bacterium. RNAcentral describes it as "partial 16S ribosomal RNA". It matches the Rfam family "Bacterial small subunit ribosomal RNA", at positions 524 to 776 of the family's 1533-position model. The record is from RNAcentral.
UGCGUAGGGGGCUAGCGUUGUCCGGAAUCAUUGGGCGUAAAGAGCGUGUAGGCGGUCCGGUAAGUCCGCUGUGAAAGUCGGGGGCUCAACCCUCGAAUGCCGGUGGAUACUGUCGGGCUAGAGUACGGAAGAGGCGAGUGGAAUUCCUGGUGUAGCGGUGAAAUGCGCAGAUAUCAGGAGGAACACCUAUUGCGAAGGCAGCUCGCUGGGACGUAACUGACGCUGAGACGCGAAAGCGUGGGGAGCAAACAGG